GUGACAAGUUUGAUGUCCUUUAUUCAAGGGAAAACAAUACACAGGUUGGGGGAGUCCAGUGCCUCACAAGCAGGGGAGCACUGCUCCUGAGGGAUUUGGGGCAAGAGCACAUUCUAUAAAGGCUGGAAGAGGCAAUAUGGAAACAGGGCAUGAGUGGCCAGGGGGUCAGGGAUUUCCUUGGAAGGCCCCAUAAGGUCCUGUUUUCUAGGGUAAGUUGAGCCCGCUAAAGCUGAGUUGGGGGAUUAUGAUGGGUCUAUGCUAGGAUUCCUUGACGAGUGUUUCCCAUAAGUGCAGGCUGACUUAGUUUUAGAUUUGUGACACAGGCCAGGCCACUGAGGUGGCCUCCAUUUUGUGGGUCCCGAUAUACAAGUUAACUUUACCACAGGGUCUGAGGAAUGUUCACUGAGGUACAUUACAGAGGCUGGACUGCUGCAAAUUGCCUUAAUAACUCCUUAAACUCUGUUCUGGAACUAGACACUCUACUUAUAUCUCAGUCAAUAUUUUUGUAUUUAUAGGGCGAAAAACACCAAGCCUUGAGAUGGUACAUUGUGACCACCAUGCUUUCAAAUGGGGGAGCUGUUUUUCCCUCAUGGGGCUGACCAGUAUUCCUGCGAAUGGUUCUGGAGCCCUAUAAGUGUGAUAUUGCUCUUUUAAGCUAUCUUAGUUUCUUAAUAUCACAGGAUUUAACAUGUCAGACCUCGUCAUAAAGGAAAGAGUUUGUAUUGCAUUUGCCAAGUCCUCUUUGUUGAGUAAUUUAACUCAUUAGCCAAAGGAUUAAAGUCCAUGUUUAUUCUUCAAUAUAAUACACAUAUGACAGUUAUACAUCUUUAUAAGGCAAAGAAAUACAACUGAAUGAAACUAUGAUCAGAAAUUUAAAAAAUACCUGAAUAUGCAAUCACAUUAUGAAGAUAUCUUUAUUUCUUAUCUACACUGAUAAACUUUAUCCAAAGGACGCACUGACAUCUACCAGCUGGGACAACUACAAAAUACAUGGAAGUCAAAAUAUGCAUGCUCAGGUCUCAGCUGUUUUCUGGUUUUUUGAGUAAAUAGUAGUUGAGUUAUAAGCCUUCAUGGAAGGUGACACUGCCCAUAUAAAGACCCCUUAUGGAAAACGCACCUGACUAAGUGAAGCUAGGAGAAAAAUACAGCACUUCUAACAUGAGAAACUGUAGGAGAUUUCGUGCUAUGCAAGGACGUCAUCCUAAUCCAGGAAUUCAACAUCCAAUAAGUCCAGCAUCAAGUUUCCUUUAGGACAGAAAGCAAUUUGCCUUUUGGAAAUAUAAUUUUCACCUCCAAGAGGUUUUCGGCAAACAUUGUGAUGGAUAAAAAGAUGAACUUUGAUUCUAACUUAAGAAAAACAGAAAGAAGUGAAAAAAUAAAAAAUACAGGGCUGGCCCCGUGGCGGAGUGGUUGGGUUCGCGCGCUCCGCUGCAGGCGGACCAGUGCUUCGUUGGUUCGAAUCCUGGGCGCGGACAUGGCACUGCUCAUCAGACCACGCUGAGGCAGCGUCCCGCAUGCCACAACUAGAAGGACCCACGAUGAAGAAUAUACAACUAUGUACGGGGGGCUUUGGGGAGAAAAAGGAAAAAAUAAAAUCUUUAAAAAAAAAAAUUUUAAAAAUUAAAAAAUAAAAAAAAAAAUAAAAAAUACAGGACAAAAGCAAGGUAGGGAGCACCAUGGCCCUUGAGAAGUGAGCCCCAGCAGUGCUGUGCCCUAUGCCCAUGACGGAAUUGCUAGGGACGGAGAGCGGAACUGAGGCCACUGACCACAUCGCUGAGGGGCCCUCCUCUCCCUCUCAUUACACUUACACAAAUAAAUUUUCCAAAUGAGAUUCCCUCAACUGGUCUGCAGUCCAAACUGAACAAGGACAUGUAUGAGACUGGCUGGCACCCCUGUCUAAUGGCUGGAGCAGGGGUGGUGGGAGCAGAAGGGGCAAAAAGGAAUGAAAUAAAGAGGAAGACUCUCAUUUCCCUAAUAUUAACCCACAUUUUAAUUCUAAAACAAGAAAAAAUUUUGCUAUACUAAUAUCUAUAAAAAUGGAGAAAAUAUAAGUUCUCACAUCUUUCAAGACACAUUCACAUCAAAGUAUGACAUGAUAAUGACAGCAUGCCUAUUUACAUUUUGAGGAAAGAAGGUAAAAUAAUAUCAAGUCAGACAAAAAGCAACUAAAAACAAACCUACAGGACUCAACAGACAUGAGAGUUACCCAAUUUCAACCUGGAAAUCUUUUCCCCAAGUUACUCAGGUGAGAAUCCAUUCCAGAGGUUUUCAUGCCACAAACUGGGGUGUGGGUCCUAUCUUCCUUGAUUUUUAAAUAGCAACAAAUUCUGGCUAAGUGUUGGUAUCUUACAAAUUACAAAUGUGGGCGUGCUUUUCCCUUAAUAGUUCAUGAGGUUUAUUCCUCUCCAGGCAGUAAAAGGACCCCAUCAGUGCUUAAUUUCCUCCACUUACUAAAAAAAUGGCAACUGCCUAAUGUGAGUGAGUGAAGCCAUAACUUCCAUUAAGAGGGUGGAGGAGAAAUACAGGCUCUCAAAUCCUAAUGACUUCUUGGAAAAAUUGAUCACAAUAGCCCUAGUCUAGCCAGACUCAGCUUCUCUGGGUCCAUGCUCGCAUCUGGUUUGAUUCCCUCGCUUUGCAAAGCCCUCUUUUCCCAUCAGAGCAGCAAUCGACCAAGUUAUGGGCUUCUGCUGGAGCAGCCACACAUUGGCGUGGAGAGAGGAGACAGGAUGAGUAGGAGACAAAUUCUCCCAUUUCACCAUAACUCUAGACUGCAAUAAUCAACUCUGCAAGGCAAACUAUCCCCAACUCUCAUAUAAAAGGCACCCCACUGGCCUGGGGAUGCUUCCCCAAUCCAAAUGUGGAAAUUUAACUACAAAUUCAAAGGAGAUCCAUUUUUAAAGUAGAGUCUCCUUUCUAAACCUCUAAAAGAAAAAACAAACCACACCCACUAACUGCAGGGUCAUCAGUGGAUUAAUUUGGCAAAGAAAUCAUUCCUUCAUUUGGCCUACGCUGUCCCUUCUAUGUGUGGCCGGGCCUGGGGAAAGUUUAUUUGCCAACGUGAGUCAAAGCUAGAUGCACACUGCACAUGUGAAAGACCUCCUGCUCAAUCUGAUAGAGAAUCUACACCACAGGACAGAACACGCCCUUCCACGAGGGGUUUCAAAUCAAACCCUUGUGUCCUAUUUAGCAUCUGAGUGAAUGCCAGCUCUCUGUGGUCUGAGUAGUAUUAAUGCAUGCACUGGCUUGUAUUUUUCUAGACUCGAUGAAUACCAUCAGCUAAAGAUAGCACAGUAAUAUAACACUGCAGUCACAGGGCUUUUUUUUUUUUUUUUUUUUAAGAAAACUAAAUUAAACAUUUUAAGCAUAGUCACAUAACAGGAACAGGAGAAACCAACCUUGGGUAAAUGCAUAGGCCAAAGGAAAAAAGAAAUGCAUGACAGUGUAAGCACAAAUGCUAGAAAGGAGUCAGUCUUACAGCUGGCAUGACCACUAAGCUGGCAUGUGGCCUUCACUACAUUACACAUUUUCUUCUGUUGCUACUCCUCCUUUACCUUACCCAGAGAAUAAGGAUGUUGCACAUAUAGUUAUGUGUGGCCAUGCUGCAAGGAGUCACUAAGUGGAUGUGAGAAAUAAUGGAGAAAAGCCAGUGCAAAUCAAAUCUGCCUUCACUCAUACAGCCACCACGUUAUUCUUACCCCAUAUCAUCACCAUUAUGACAACCAGAGCCCAAAAUAGACAUUAUCAUAAGCUGAUCUCAACACAAUGGUUAUUUGGAAAUGGAAAAUGAAGGAGAGCUUAAGAAGCUGAAUGAUGAGCUUGGAUGUGUACCAGGAGUUAAGCGUGGCUUUGCCUUGUCUCUUCUUAAAGAAAUGGCGUGGCUGUUUCGCUCUUUGGAGGCCCUGUAACCUUCUGUGCUGUAUACAGUAGGGCUCCCUUCGCUUAUUAAACAGCUGUGAGGAGAUGGCACACGACCUCAGGAACAAGAAGGAACUUCCAACUGGAAAUCUUUCUCGUGUAGAAAAAGUGAGCAGAGGUGCUCCCCUUGUCUUCGGCUUCUGAAUGCCCUUUCUUCACAGCCAGGAGCCACAUGAGACUCUGCGGAGCUGAGAUCACUCAUCUUCACAAAAGUUUGAGUUUACCCAGAAACUUGAGUGCUAUUUCCCAGAUCACUUGAACACUGGAAACAAAGCAUUGUCCUUCCUCAGGAUACACAGACCCAUCUCUUCUUGACAACUGCAGUGAGGAAAGCUCUCAGGACUGUCAACAUUAUUCCAAAGGUGGCCAUUUUGAAGACUCACCAUGAACAGAUACCUCUUGCACCGCCUCUCAAAACCAGUGUGUUCCAUGCAGAUGAAGGUUCAAUCAGACGAGAGGAGGGACCACACUGUGAAAAUGCAUGCCACUCAUUUGAAAGUAGAAGCAGCUACUUGGAAGAAACUGAUGCGCUUGGAGGAAAGUUUAGAAUAAAUGGAAGAUAUAAUGGCUGAUGCCUCUUGCCUCAGAAUUCAAAGAAAGCUUAUGUUCCAGAAAGCAAAUUAUUUAUCAGUUGGAUUCACCUGAUUUCAGACCAAAUCAAAAUAAUAAAGUCUGAGAAAUGAUGUGUUGAAGGAUGCACCACACUUAGAAUGUUUUCUGGGGAUAUAAUCACUUGAAAGUCACAAUUUAAUGACUGGAAACAGUUUUCUCCCUCUAAAUACAUCCUCCAGGUUUUAAAAUCCCAAAUAAAUCUCCAGGAUGAUUGCUCUAGUAAUAUGAGAAACAGCAGAAAUAAUGCAUCCCUUGCCCUAGUGACUAAAAUCAAAAAUAAAAAUAGAAAAUACAACCUAAGAUGGCAGGGAAACGGCUUCCCAAGUGGGCACUACCAUAGGGGUGGGGACAUGAGGGCAGGCGGGCAGGGCUGCAGCACUGGGUGCCCUCUGCGCACGGCCAAGGGGCUCAGAGUUCAAGCGUGGCUGCUCCUCUGGCUACGGCCACCAGUCAUCACAGGGGUCAAGGCAACAGAACUGCUGAUUUUUCCAAAAAUCUUCUCGAAGCAGCAGCAACCACAGCAGUUUUCCUGCAAAGCAAACAAAAUAUGACUCUUGUUAAUUCAGCAGCGCUUUUGCAAUUGUCAUUAGUUGGUUGCGCCCCUUAGGAAAACCACACAUGAGUUUUUAUAACAUGUGUGUAUGUGAGAGAAAAAAAGAAACCCCUUGAAGGAUCCCACUGCUUACCAGAGUUGGGUUUUUUUCAGUUUUUGCAAGAUAUUUUAGUACUAUUUGCAAUAUCGAAGGACAAGGCCUCUUUGUUUCCUCUGAAGCACAGCCAACUCCCAAAGUUGCUGCCACCCCGUCCGUUCUGUCAGCUCAAUCCCAGCAUCAAGGGGAGAGUGUGGAUGGCGUGUGCGGAGGUUUCUAUUUGCUUUAUGACCAUGUCUGACCCCAGGCCCGCACGCUGCUUGCUGUCCUACACCAUUCCUACAGAUGUGAGGAGGUGUGCUCCAUCAUGUCUCACAGGUUGGCAAAAGAUGCAACAGAAACAAGAAAUGAAAUGCCACCAGGUUGACUUUUAGAGUGUUUCCUCAACCCAUCAAAAAACCUCUAACAAAUUGCAGGAGAUUUAUAUGCCUCAAUUUACAUUGUGGAUUAUGCCUCAUCCACAGGGCCUGAAAGUCGCUCUUUUUCCACAGGAAUAAUCUUCAACCACCAGAUUUUAAAAAUCAAUAUUAUCUCAAAAUUGGUUUUACUCAUGAUAGAUCUUGCCAAAAUCCCCAUCUUAUCCUGGCAGGAAAUAUUGUGAAGAAUGAUCUUUUCCUUUUUUUU
RNAcentral lists this long non-coding RNA (5801 nucleotides) under Equus asinus (donkey). RNAcentral's name for it is "lncRNA (ENSEASG00005025568.1)". The record is from RNAcentral. Lineage: Eukaryota; Metazoa; Chordata; Mammalia; Perissodactyla; Equidae.